This 277-nucleotide ribosomal RNA is filed under the name uncultured bacterium. RNAcentral describes it as "partial 16S ribosomal RNA". It matches the Rfam family "Bacterial small subunit ribosomal RNA", at positions 78 to 354 of the family's 1533-position model. The record is from RNAcentral.
CCUAAGUGAUAUAUGGGUUAGUGGCGGACGGGUGAGUAACGCGUGGUAACCUGCCUUACACAGGGGGAUAACACCUGGAAACAGGUGCUAAUACCGCAUAACAGAAGGGGACGCAUGUUUCUUUCUUGAAAACUCCGGUGGUACGGGAUGGACCCGCGUCUGAUUAGCUGGUUGGCGGGGUAACGGCCCACCAAGGCGACGAUCAGUAGCCGGCCUGAGAGGGCGGACGGCCACAUUGGGACUGAGACACGGCCCAAACUCCUACGGAAGGCAGCAG